Molecule: ribosomal RNA, 395 nt
Filed under: uncultured bacterium
Lineage: Bacteria
Description: bacterial SSU rRNA
Rfam family: Bacterial small subunit ribosomal RNA
Source: RNAcentral
GUGUCAGCCGCCGCGGUAAUACGGAGGGUGCGAGCGUUAUUCGGAAUUACUGGGCGUAAAGCGCGUGCAGGCGGUUUGGCAAGUCUGAUGUGAAAGCCCCGGGCUUAACCUGGGAAGUGCAUUGGAAACUGCCGGACUUGAGUACUGGAGAGGAAGGGGGAAUUCCCGGUGUAGAGGUGAAAUUCGUAGAGAUCGGGAGGAAUACCAGUGGCGAAGGCGCCCUUCUGGACGGUUACUGACGCUGAGACGCGAAAGCGUGGGGAGCAAACAGGAUUAGAUACCCUGGUAGUCCACGCUGUAAACGAUGAGCACUAGGUGUAGCGGGUACUCAUUCCUGCUGUGCCGCAGCUAACGCGUUAAGUGCUCCGCCUGGGGAUUACGGUCGCAAGACUAAA